RNAcentral lists this ribosomal RNA (195 nucleotides) under uncultured gamma proteobacterium WkB14. Its description in RNAcentral is "partial 16S ribosomal RNA". It matches the Rfam family "Bacterial small subunit ribosomal RNA", at positions 338 to 524 of the family's 1533-position model. Lineage: Bacteria; Pseudomonadati; Pseudomonadota; Gammaproteobacteria. The record is from RNAcentral.
CCUACGGGAGGCAGCAGUGGGGAAUAAUUGCACAAUGGGCGCAAGCCUGAUGCAGCCAUGCCGCGUGUGUGAAGAAGGCCUUAGGGUUGUAAAGCACUUUCAGCGAGGAGGAAGGGUUCAGUGUUAAUAGCACUGUUCAUUGACGUUACUCGCAGAAGAAGCACCGGCUAACUCCGUGCCAGCAGCCGCGGUAAU